Molecule: ribosomal RNA, 482 nt
Filed under: uncultured bacterium
Lineage: Bacteria
Description: partial 16S ribosomal RNA
Rfam family: Bacterial small subunit ribosomal RNA
Source: RNAcentral
AUUGAACGCUGGCGGCAUGCCUUACACAUGCAAGUCGAACGGUAACAGGCCGCCAGGUGCUGACGAGUGGCGAACGGGUGAGUAAUGCAUCGGAACGUGCCCAGUCGUGGGGGAUAACUACUCGAAAGAGUAGCUAAUACCGCAUACGAUCUAUGGAUGAAAGCGGGGGACCGUAAGGCCUCGCGCGAUUGGAGGGGCUGAUGUCAGAUCAGCUAGUUGGUGGGGUAAAGGCUCACCAAGCCAACGAUCUGUAGCCGGUCUGAAAGGACGACCGGCCACAUUGGGACUGCGACGCCACCCAGACUCCUACGGGACGCAGCAGUCUGCAAUUUUGGGCAGUGGGCGCAAGCCUUGUACAGCAGUGCGGCGUGUGGGGCGACGGCCCUCGGGGUGUGAAGUCCUUUUGUACGGAACGAAACGGCUCUGGUUAAGGCGCGGGGCUAAUGACGGUACCGGAAGAAGAAGCACCGGCUAACUACGUG